RNAcentral lists this transfer RNA (76 nucleotides) under Dehalococcoidia bacterium. Its description in RNAcentral is "tRNA-Phe". It matches the Rfam family "tRNA". From Rfam's summary of the family: Transfer RNA (tRNA) molecules are approximately 80 nucleotides in length. Their secondary structure includes four short double-helical elements and three loops (D, anti-codon, and T loops). Further hydrogen bonds mediate the characteristic L-shaped molecular structure. tRNAs have two regions of fundamental functional importance: the anti-codon, which is responsible for specific mRNA codon recognition, and the 3' end, to which the tRNAs corresponding amino acid is attached (by aminoacyl-tRNA synthetases). tRNAs cope with the degeneracy of the genetic code in two manners: having more than one tRNA (with a specific anti-codon) for a particular amino acid; and 'wobble' base-pairing, i.e. permitting non-standard base-pairing at the 3rd anti-codon position. The record is from RNAcentral. Lineage: Bacteria; Bacillati; Chloroflexota; Dehalococcoidia.
GUGGCGAUAGCUCAGUAGGUAGAGUGCCUGGUUGAAAUUCAGGCGGUCCUCUGUUCGAUUCCGAGUCGUCCCACCU